Molecule: ribosomal RNA, 431 nt
Filed under: uncultured soil bacterium
Lineage: Bacteria
Description: bacterial SSU rRNA
Rfam family: Bacterial small subunit ribosomal RNA
Source: RNAcentral
AGAUUGAACGCUGGCGGCAUGCCUAACACAUGCAAGUCGAACGGGAGUAGCAAUACUCUAGUGGCGGACGGGUGAGGAAUACGUAGGAAUUUGCCCUUAAGUGGGGGAUAACCCGGGGAAACCCGGAUUAAUACCGCAUGACCUCGAAAGAGCAAAGUGGGGGAUCGCAAGACCUCACGCGUUUUGGAGAAGCCUACGUCGGAUUAGCUAGUUGGUGAGGUAAUGGCUCACCGAAGGCGACGAUCCGUAACUGGUCUGAGAGGAUGAUCAGUCACACCGGAACUGAGACACGGUCCGGACUCCGUACGGGAGGCAGCAGGUGGGGAAUAGUUGGACAAGUCGGGCGCAAGCCUGACUCCAGCAAGUCGCCGCGUGUGUGAAGAAGGCCGUUGGUUAGUAAGCUAACGUUUAAGGUUAGGGAAAGUAAAAAC